GACCAGACUCCUACGGGAGGCAGCAGUAGGGAAUCUUUCACAAUGGGCGAAAGCCUGAUGGAGCAACGCCGCGUGCAGGAUGAAGGCCUUCGGGUUGUAAACUGCUUUUAUAAGCGAGAAAUAUGAUGGUAACUUAUGAAUAAGGAUCGGCUAACUCCGUGCCAGCAGCCGCGGUAAUACGGAGGAUCCAAGCGUUAUCCGGAUUUAUUGGGUUUAAAGGGUGCGUAGGCGGUUUUAUAAGUUAGAGGUGAAAUCUCGGGGCUCAACUCCGAAAUUGCCUCUAAUACUGUAGGACUAGAGAGUAGUUGCGGUAGGCGGAAUGUAUGGUGUAGCGGUGAAAUGCUCAGAGAUCAUACAGAACACCGAUUGCGAAGGCAGCUUACCAAACUAUAUCUGACGUUGAGGCCCGAAAGCGUGGGGAGCAAACAGGAUUAGAUACCCGAGUAU
This 447-nucleotide ribosomal RNA is filed under the name uncultured bacterium. RNAcentral's name for it is "partial 16S ribosomal RNA". It matches the Rfam family "Bacterial small subunit ribosomal RNA", at positions 329 to 793 of the family's 1533-position model. The record is from RNAcentral.